CCUCCAUGGUGGCCUCGUCCCCUCCCCGGCCACCACCCCGCUAUUUAUGCGCUCUGUGGCCCCAACCCUCCCUCUCCGCGCCUCCGGCCAGGUAUUGCACAAGGCUUGGCCCCCCCCCCCCCCCCGCGGUGUCCCCCCCCCACGCGGUGCCAGGCGUGUCCCCACGGUGCCAGGCGUGUCCCCAUGCCAGGUGUGUCCCCCAGCCCCGUGCCGGGUGCGUCCCCAAGCGGCGCAUCCCCGAGCAGCGCGCCCACGAGCUGCAGGCCAUGCGUGGCCCCGAGCGGUGUCCCCAAACGGUGUCCCCAAGUAGUGUCCCCAAGCAGGGUGUCCCCAAGCAGGGUGUCCCCAAGUAGUGUCCCCGAGCAGUGUCCCCAAGCAGGGUGUCCCCAAGUAGUGUCCCCGAGCAGUGUGCCAUGCGUGACCCCAAGUAGUGUGUCCAUGGGCACCGUGUCCCCAAGCAGCGUGUCCCCAAGGAGUGUGCCAUGCGUGACCCCAAGCAGCGUGUCCAUGGGCACCGUGUCCCCAAGCAGCUCCAUGGGGGACACUCAACAGGGGGGCAUUUUAUGGGGGGUGUUCAAGGGGGCGCCCAAUUGGGGACAUUUUAUGGGGGAUGCUCCAUGGGGGACAUCCAUUUGGGGACACUCAAUUGGGGGACACUUUAUGGGGGACAUUUUAUGGGGGAUGAUUAAUUGGGGACACUCAUUUGGGGACACUUAAUUGGGGACAUUUUACGAGGGGUGUUCAAGGGGGCACCCAAUUGGGGACAUUUUAUGGGGGGUGUUUAAUUGGGGACACUCAUUUGGGGACACUCAAUUGGGGGACACUUUAUGGGGGGUGUUCAAGGGGGGUACCCAAUUGGGGACAUUUUAGGGGGGACAUUUUAUGGGGGAUGCUUGAUUGGGGACACUCAAUGGGGGACAUUUUUGGGGGGAAGCUCAAUGGGGGGUGCCCAGUUGAGGACAUUUUAUGGGGGACAUUUUUUGGGGGAUGCUCCAUGGGGGACACCCAAUUGGGGACACUCAACGGGGGACACUUUACAAAAAUAAAACAUCCUGGCCCCCCA
This 1063-nucleotide long non-coding RNA is filed under the name Anas platyrhynchos platyrhynchos (common mallard). RNAcentral's name for it is "lncRNA (ENSAPLG00000030334.1)". Lineage: Eukaryota; Metazoa; Chordata; Aves; Anseriformes; Anatidae. The record is from RNAcentral.